UUGAACGCUGGCGGCAUGCUUUACACAUGCAAGUCGAACGGCAGCGCGGGCUUCGGCCUGGCGGCGAGUGGCGAACGGGUGAGUAAUGCAUCGGAACGUGCCCAGUAGUGGGGGAUAGCCCGGCGAAAGCCGGAUUAAUACCGCAUACGACCUGAGGGUGAAAGCGGGGGGCCGAAAGGCCUCGCGCUAUUGGAGCGGCCGAUGUCGGAUUAGCUAGUUGGUGGGGUAAAGGCUUACCAAGGCGACGAUCCGUAGCUGGUCUGAGAGGACGACCAGCCACACUGGGACUGAGACACGGCCCAGACUCCUACGGGAGGCAGCAGUGGGGAAUUUUGGACAAUGGGGGCAACCCUGAUCCAGCCAUGCCGCGUGCGGGAAGAAGGCCUUCGGGUUGUAAACCGCUUUUGUUCGGGAAGAAAUCCUCUGGGCUAAUACCCCGGGGGGAUGACGGUACCGGAAGAAUAAGCACCGGCUAACUACGUG
RNAcentral lists this ribosomal RNA (483 nucleotides) under uncultured bacterium. Its description in RNAcentral is "partial 16S ribosomal RNA". It matches the Rfam family "Bacterial small subunit ribosomal RNA", at positions 29 to 507 of the family's 1533-position model. The record is from RNAcentral.